Molecule: RNA transcript, 3246 nt
Organism: Pecten maximus
Lineage: Eukaryota; Metazoa; Mollusca; Bivalvia; Pectinida; Pectinidae
Exons: 6
Source: RefSeq, a predicted model, not a curated record
UCAGUUUUUGUUAUACACGGGUCCAAUUGUGCUUAAAGAUUGUCUACCAAGACUAAAAUACCAGCAUUUUCUGCUGUUCUUUGUUGCUAUCUAUUGUCUCAGUAGUCCAGUGUUUUUCAGAGAGUAUGGAGAAUAUGCCCAUGAUAUAUUAUGUAUUUUUGUGAGAGAUGUGGGAAGAUUGUAUGGCAGGGACCAGAUUGUUUACAAUAUUCAUGGUUUGACCCACUUAGCAAAGGAUGUUGAACGGUUUGGACCCCUGGAUAGGUUUUCAGCAUUUAUUUUUGAAAGUUUUUUAGGUCGAUUAAAACGUCUUGUAAGGAAACCAAAUUUUCCAUUGCAACAGGUAAUAAGAAGGCUUUCAGAAUGCAAUUAUCAAUUUGAAAAAAAAAGUGAAAUUCCUAAAUUAGGCAUACCUAAAAAGAUUCAUAUACAAGGACCACGGUCAGCUGAUGUACAGUUUAGACAUUUUUUACAGUUUAAAGACAUUCACUUUCAAGAUCUAUACUUUUCUGUCAGUGAAGGAGAUAACUGUAUUUUGGUUGGAAACAAAGUUGGUAUUAUUAAAAACAUUAUAUGUCAAAAUGCAGAAUCAGAAAAAUAUGUAAUAUAUAAAGAAUUCAGAAACACUUCAGAUUUUUUUAGUAUUCCAUUGAAUUCUUCAGAUUUAGGGAUAUACACUGUGUGUGAUCUUGCUGGUGAACUGAAAACUGACAAAUGCUCUGUGGUCAGUAAAUGUGUUCUUAUGCCAUUUGAUGAAAAGUUUGUUGCAAUUCCACUGAUUCAUACAUUGUAAUUUAAAUAUAUAGGAUUUUAUUUAUAAUGAAGGCAGCUGUUACACCAGGAUGAAAGAAAAAAUGUUGCAUUGUUAAUGAUUUUGAUAAAUCACCAAAAUCUUACUUUGUUCUGAAUAUCCAGGAUGCAUGUACUCAUUGAAUUCACGGAUGAGCAAUGUCUAGCUAUAAUUCCUGAUACUUGGAAGCUUGGAAAAACUCGUGCUCUUUGGCCAAAUACGCAGAAUGCAACCAAGCUGCAGAAAAUGGUGAAGUCUAAACAAGAUCCGGAUGACGAGGAAUGGGAGUCUUUUCCUAUAAGAGUGUUGUAUGAAAAUGAAUCUUAUGACAAGGUGCGGUCUAAGUUAAAAAGGGCAGAGGAGGAGUCAGACUUGGCAACAGCUGUUUCGGAAGACUCCGGGGAUGAUGACGCUUCACGGCGAUCAAAGAGAAAAAGAAGAGCACCACAGCAGCUGUCAUCUGAUGAUGACCAACCUGAAAUGGGGUAUAUGUCCUCCCUGCCAAAGCCCCCCGCACAGAGGUCGACACUCCCAAAGAAACAACCACAACAACACAACAAAACCCAGCCUCUGGUAUCAAAAUCAUCAAUACCCAAAACUCCUCAGCAUCAACGGAUUCAGAGCCCCCAAUCAGAGACACCAACCCUGACUCGCCCAAGGGACAUAUCUAAUGCACGUGAUGUUCGUCUUUUUACUCUGCUGGAACAGAUUAAAUCCACGCAGGUAAAACAGCAGACGAUCAUGGAGACAAUUUUAAAAAAAAGUUGACCAGUUGAGCAUCUCCGAGCAUGGACAGUCAGUAGGACCAACCACAGAUAUACCGGAGGAUGUAGUGUUCCCCCUCAACAACUUGGAGGAGUUGAACGCCCUCGAAGAAAAGCUUGCGGACACCAGUGUCCUAAAAUCAGUUAUCAACCAUCUGUCUGUUGUUGGAGGCAAAACAACAAAUGAUAUGACCAGAAGGAUCCUGAAGUCCACAGUCCGGUCAGGUCUUGCAACCCAGUACAACUGGUAUGGAAAGAAAGGGAAAAUGCCCUUUGGAAAGCUGCGACUAGCUACAGUUAUACAGAAGGCUGUUAGGAAAGUAAAGCCAGAAAGCUCUGAAUUAGAGGUGGAGCUAGCCACUCGAGAAUGGCUUAGAACUGCAGCAGACCGAGAUGGUGGUAGAAAGAGGCGCCAGGCUGUAUGUGCAAUUGUACAGCCAAAUACAUUACAUGGACAUUCUGAGAAUGAUUCAGAAAGUGAACAUUCAUUGGUGUAUGAAUAAGUUAUGAUUAUGUUCAGUAAUAUUUGAUAGUUAAAAACAUGUAUAUUUUAAACAAAAAAGUAGUUUUGCAUCCGUUUAGAGUUGGAAUAUAUGAAGAAAUAAAUAACAUCAACAACAAACUUCCAGCAACAGCUGCAAAAGCACUUGAAAGUUAGUCGUCAGUAUUAUUUAUUUUUUCAUAAAUAUUAUAAAAUGAAAAUGCUUUUCAAAUUAUAUAUAUUAUGUGCCAAAACAACUACAAGACCUAUAUACCUAAAACCUUAAGUUUUGUAUUUAAUUAUCAUCUGUUUUGCAUUUUAAUGUUACAUUGCUUUUCAAUCUCACAUGGCUUUUUUCCAAUACUUUGAGAAUGGGGCUGGCCCAUCGCUUUUAGACUAAAACAAAAAUCUAGGUUAAAAUUAGGAAAAAAUUUACAUAAUGUUAAAAAAAAUAUGAUACAAGUAGACACAAAUACAUGUAACACACUUAUAUAUAUAUUAUGCUUUAUUUAUAGCAUUAUCUCCCUGGCCAAUAAUUUAGGUCAAGGUAACCAAUGAAACGUAAAUGACAUGGCACUUUCCAGAUUUUUCAAAACAUUUUUUCAUAAAUCAAUUAAUUGAGAAAUUUUAAUGGUUGCAUUGAUUGGAAAAAAGCAAUUUUUUUUCUGUUUUUCAAAUCCAAAUUGGCCUCAUAGAAAGCCCUGUCACGGUACACUUCUUAAGUGCCUGAUUGGUCUAUACUGCCUCCCCUUGGGGAGCUCUUGUUGAUUUGCAUAAUAUUUGCCUAAUACAUUUGUAACUCCAUGUUAUGUUUAAUAUAAACUUGUUCGAUAUGAAUGUUGCAAUAUCAAUAAGCAUAAUACAUAUUUUUCAUUUAGAUAAUCCUUGGUUUGUAAAUAUCUUUGUGACAUCUGUCUUUAAUAUGUGUGCAUUCAAAUUGCCCUGCCUAUGUGGUCUGUCAUCCCUCCGUAAACAAUUAUUAUGAUCACUAUCUCUCAGAAAGUACAGAAGGGAUCUUUUCAAAUUUCUUAUGAUGGGUCCCCUAGGUGUCUAGUUGUACAUGUUGCAUUUUAGGACCAAUCAAACACAUGGCCGACAAGACGCUAUCUUCGAUUGUGACAAUUGAUGUUUGAUUUUUUAGCCCACCAUCAUGAGAUGGUGGGCUAUUCAAAUUGCCCUGCGUCCGUGGUCCGUGGUCCGUCCCUCCGUCC